This 29-nucleotide non-coding RNA is filed under the name Mus musculus (house mouse). Lineage: Eukaryota; Metazoa; Chordata; Mammalia; Rodentia; Muridae. The record is from RNAcentral.
UGGAUGACUAUGUACCGAGGGAGGUUAGC